GUCCUUGUAGUGCAAUGGAUAGCACGUUGGACUUCUAAUCCAAAGAUCGUGGGUUCGAAUACCUUCAGGAAUG
Trichonephila inaurata madagascariensis is the source of this 73-nucleotide non-coding RNA. NCBI's taxonomy places the organism in Eukaryota, Metazoa, Arthropoda, Arachnida, Araneae, Nephilidae. The record is from the annotation of a GenBank genome assembly.